This 301-nucleotide ribosomal RNA is filed under the name uncultured bacterium. Its description in RNAcentral is "partial 16S ribosomal RNA". It matches the Rfam family "Bacterial small subunit ribosomal RNA", at positions 509 to 807 of the family's 1533-position model. The record is from RNAcentral.
CAGUCGCCGCGGUAAAACGCGGGGGGCUAGCGUUGCUCGGAAUUACUGGGCGUAAAGGGAGCGUAGGCGGACAUUUAAGUCAGGGGUGAAAUCCCAGAGCUCAACUCUGGAACUGCCUUUGAUACUGGGUGUCUUGAGUGUGAUAGAGGUAUGUGGAACUCCGAGUGUAGAGGUGAAAUUCGUAGAUAUUCGGAAGAACACCAGUGGCGAAGGCGACAUACUGGAUCAUUACUGACGCUGAGGCUCGAAAGCGUGGUGAGCAAACAGGAUUAGAGACCCCGGUAGUCCCUGUCUCUUAUAC